GCAGUGGGGAAUAUUGCACAAUGGGCGCAAGCCUGAUGCAGCCAUGCCGCGUGUGUGAAGAAGGCCUUAGGGUUGUAAAGCACUUUCAGUUGUGAGGAAAGGUUAGUAGUUAAUACCUGCUAGCUGUGACGUUAGCAACAGAAGAAGCACCGGCUAACUCCGUGCCAGCAGCCGCGGUAAUACGGAGGGUGCGAGCGUUAAUCGGAAUUACUGGGCGUAAAGCGUACGCAGGCGGUUUGUUAAGCGAGAUGUGAAAGCCCCGGGCUCAACCUGGGAACUGCAUUUCGAACUGGCAAACUAGAGUGUGAUAGAGGGUGGUAGAAUUUCAGGUGUAGCGGUGAAAUGCGUAGAGAUCUGAAGGAAUACCGAUGGCGAAGGCAGCCACCUGGGUCAACACUGACGCUCAUGUACGAAAGCGUGGGGAGCAAA
RNAcentral lists this ribosomal RNA (429 nucleotides) under uncultured bacterium. Its description in RNAcentral is "bacterial SSU rRNA". It matches the Rfam family "Bacterial small subunit ribosomal RNA", at positions 351 to 772 of the family's 1533-position model. The record is from RNAcentral.